This 301-nucleotide ribosomal RNA is filed under the name uncultured bacterium. RNAcentral's name for it is "partial 16S ribosomal RNA". It matches the Rfam family "Bacterial small subunit ribosomal RNA", at positions 509 to 807 of the family's 1533-position model. The record is from RNAcentral.
CAGCCGCCACGGGAAUACGAAGGGGGCUAGCGUUGCUCGGAAUGACUGGGCGUAAAGGGCGCGUAGGCGGUCACGAUAGUCAGAUGUGAAAUUCCUGGGCUUAACCUGGGGACUGCAUUUGAUACUGUGUGGCUUGAGUGUGGAAGAGGGUCGUGGAAUUCCCAGUGUAGAGGUGAAAUUCGUAGAUAUUGGGAAGAACACCGGUGGCGAAGGCGGCGACCUGGUCCAUAACUGACGCUGAGGCGCGAAAGCGUGGGGAGCAAACAGGAUUAGAUACCCCCGUAGUCCCUGUCUCUUAUAC